Molecule: ribosomal RNA, 851 nt
Filed under: uncultured archaeon
Lineage: Archaea
Description: bacterial SSU rRNA
Rfam family: Archaeal small subunit ribosomal RNA
Source: RNAcentral
ACUGCUCAGUAACACGUAGCUAACCUACCCUUAGGACGUGGAUACCCCCGAGAAAUUGGGGUUAAUCCGCGAUAGAUGUAAUGUCCUGGAAUGGUAUUACGACUAAAGGUAUUUCAUACAUGUUUGAAAUAUGCCUAAGGAUGGGGCUGCGGCCGAUCAGGCUGUUGGUGAGGUAAUGGCUCACCAAACCUUUGACCGGUACGGGCCAUGAGAGUGGUAGCCCGAAGAUGGACACUGAGACAAGGGUCCAGGCCCUAAGGGGCGCAGUAACCGCGAAACCUCCACAAUGCACUCACGUGCGAUGGGGCUAUCUCGAGUGCCACCUGAUGAAGGUGGCUUUUCCUAGGUCUUCAAAGCCUUGGGAAUAAGAGGGGGGCAAGACUGGUGUCAGCCGCCGCGGUAACACCAGCCCCUCGAGUGGUGGGGAUGAUUAUUUGGCCUAAAGCGUCCGUAGCCGGCCGUGUAAGUCUUCCGUUAAAUCCAGCGUCUCAAGCGUUGGACUGCGGGAGAUACUGUACGGCUAGAGAGUGGGAGAGGUCAGCGGUAUUCUGGGGGUGGGGGCGAAAUCCUUUGAUCCCCGGAGGACCACCAGUGGCGAAGGCUGCUGACUAGAACACGUCUGACGGUCAGGGACGAAAGCUGGGGUAGCGAACCGGAUUAGAUACCCGGGUAGUCCCAGCCGUAAACGAUGCAUGCUAGGUGUUGGGUUGGCCACGCGCCACCCCAGUGCCGCAGGGAAGCCGUUAAGCAUGCCGCCUGGGAAGUACGAUCGCAAGAUUGAAACUUAAAGGAAUUGGCGGGGGAGCACCACCAGGCGUGAAGCCUGCGGUUUAAUUGGAGUCAACGCCGGA